Molecule: ribosomal RNA, 567 nt
Filed under: uncultured bacterium
Lineage: Bacteria
Description: bacterial SSU rRNA
Rfam family: Bacterial small subunit ribosomal RNA
Source: RNAcentral
CCUACGGGAGGCAGCAGUGGGGAAUAUUGGACAAUGGGCGAAAGCCUGAUCCAGCAACGCCGCGUGAGGGAUGACGGCCUUCGGGUUGUAAACCUCUUUCAGCAGGGACGAAGCGCAAGUGACGGUACCUGCAGAAGAAGCACCGGCCAACUACGUGCCAGCAGCCGCGGUAAUACGUAGGGUGCGAGCGUUGUCCGGAAUUAUUGGGCGUAAAGGGCUCGUAGGCGGUUUGUCACGUCGGGAGUGAAAACUCGGGGCUUAACCCCGAGCCUGCUUCCGAUACGGGCUGACUAGAGGUAUGCAGGGGAGAACGGAAUUCCUGGUGUAGCGGUGAAAUGCGCAGAUAUCAGGAGGAACACCGGUGGCGAAGGCGGUUCUCUGGGCAUUACCUGACGCUGAGGAGCGAAAGUGUGGGGAGCGAACAGGAUUAGAUACCCUGGUAGUCCACACCGUAAACGUUGGGCGCUAGGUGUGGGGCUCAUUCCACGAGUUCCGUGCCGCAGCUAACGCAUUAAGCGCCCCGCCUGGGGAUACGGCCGCAAGGCUAAAACUCAAAUGAAUUGACGG